Molecule: long non-coding RNA, 1175 nt
Organism: Papaver somniferum (opium poppy)
Lineage: Eukaryota; Viridiplantae; Streptophyta; Magnoliopsida; Ranunculales; Papaveraceae
Exons: 4
Source: RefSeq, a predicted model, not a curated record
GGAAGGAUGUAAUGGCUAGCAACCAACGAGGUUUCUGGGGGUAUAAAGCAUUUUCGAGCAACCUAAUAAUGUAAGGAAUAACAGUUGCAGCCUUGCAGGGACAGCAUCGCUUGUCUUGCCUUGGCUGCCAUGCCACCGUCGUGUACUCUCAUAGGGUUUGAUCCAAGCAUUCGGGCUGAGGUCUGGCCAUUUCUCCUUGGAGUAUAAGCAUUUCUAACCCUUGGGGUUCUUUGUUAUGCAUUCGAGGAUUGUGAUAGAUUCUUAAUCUUGCUAUUAGAAUUGUCACGGUGACGGUUAUAAAAUUACAAGAGUAGUAGAACUUCCAAUAUUUUUUACCUGAGCAGCAGUCUAGAAGAAAGAGAGAUCACUAGAAGUCAGAAGAGAAAACAGUUUGAGAAGUUGAGGAAACUGUGCAAACAUCUUUAAAAGUGCAUUUAUGAUGAGCGUGUUAAAACAGGAAUUACGCUACAACUAUGGGGACAGUGAGUGUUGUCGAACAUCCAGAUUCAGCUGCUUCGAAAAGAGAGCCCAUAGUUUGAUGACUCGAAAGGCCAGGUCCAUGAUCAAUUUCCUCAUUGCGCCUACUCAGACAACAAUGAAAGUGAAAUCACAAGUGCCGUUGGGAUGCGUAUGUAGCUGCGGAAUCAUCUGAUUCAGAUUCUAUUGAAGAACCUGAGAGCGGGCAGGCUUCUGCUGCUAUUGAAAGUAUUGAUGAAAAUGAUCCUGACAAGUCUUCACCCUCCAAAGCAUGGCAGAGAAUCAUUCGACUUGAUGCUGUGAGGACCAACAGAGAAUAGAAUAGUUACUCUCCAACCGAGGCUGUUGUGUUCGAGGACAGGGCACACAGUCUAGCAGAGGUGGUGGGGUUUAAGGAUUAUGACCACCUAGGCUAGAACCCUGCAGGGUCUUUCAUGCAGCAUGCUCGCCUAGUUAUGAUACUUGAAACCCAUGCACCCUCUGAUGAUGAGAUUGGAUAUUGUCAGGGAACGAAUGGCCUUUUUAUCACCUGUAAUUCCGAUGGUAAUUAGGUUGAUUUGUUUAGGUGUUAAGUUUCUGUAUCUCAUCUACUUUUGUUAAAGACUGUCAGUGAGGCAAGUGACACAUAAUUUUGUUACUGAACACAGUUUGGUUACACAGUUACUUGUGUUCAACUAUCUUAUAUCAAUCAAUCAAAA